RNAcentral lists this unclassified non-coding RNA (334 nucleotides) under soil metagenome. Its description in RNAcentral is "partial contains 5.8S ribosomal RNA, internal transcribed spacer 2, and large subunit ribosomal RNA". The stretch from base 1 to 120 matches the Rfam family "5.8S ribosomal RNA", at positions 35 to 154 of the family's 154-position model. The record is from RNAcentral.
GAUGAAGAACGCAGCGAAAUGCGAUAAGUAAUGUGAAUUGCAGAAUUCAGUGAAUCAUCGAAUCUUUGAACGCACAUUGCGCCCGCCAGUAUUCUGGCGAGCAUGCCUGUUCGAGCGUCAUUUCAACCAUCAAGCCCCAGGCUUGUGUUGGAGCCCUGCGGCUGCCGCAGCCUCCCAAAACCAGUGGCGGGCUCGCUAUCACACCGAGUGCAGUAGUUUACUCUUCGCUCAGGGCGUGUGGCGGGUGCUAGCCGUGAAACCCCCAACUUCUCAAGGUUGACCUCGGAUCAGGUAGGAAUAUCCGCUGAACUUAAGCAUAUCAAUAAGCGGAGGA